This 22-nucleotide non-coding RNA is filed under the name Arabidopsis thaliana (thale cress). The record is from RNAcentral. Lineage: Eukaryota; Viridiplantae; Streptophyta; Magnoliopsida; Brassicales; Brassicaceae.
UGGCCUAAAUCUGUUAUGAUAC